AGUGAACGCUGGCGGUAGGCCUAACACAUGCAAGUCGAACGGCAGCACAGUAAGAGCUUGCUCUUACGGGUGGCGAGUGGCGGACGGGUGAGGAAUACAUCGGAAUCUACUUUUUCGUGGGGGAUAACGUAGGGAAACUUACGCGAAUACCGCAUACGACCUACGGGUGAAAGCAGGGGAUCUUCGGACCUUGCGCGAUUGAAUGAGCCGAUGUCGGAUUAGCUAGUUGGCGGGGUAAAGGCCCACCAAGGCGACGAUCCGUAGCUGGUCUGAGAGGAUGCUCAGCCACACUGGAACUGAGACACGGUCCAGACUCCACGGGAGGCAGCAGUGGGGAAUAUUGGACAAUGGGCGCAAGCCUGAUCCAGCCAUACCGCGUGGGUGAAGAAGGCCUUCGGGUUGUAAAGCCCUUUUGUUGGGAAAGAAAAGCAGCAGGUUAAUACCCCGCUGUUCUGACGGUACCCAAAGAAUAAGCACCGGCUAACUUCGUG
This 491-nucleotide ribosomal RNA is filed under the name uncultured bacterium. RNAcentral's name for it is "partial 16S ribosomal RNA". It matches the Rfam family "Bacterial small subunit ribosomal RNA", at positions 29 to 507 of the family's 1533-position model. The record is from RNAcentral.